CAGUAGCCGCGGUAAUACGAAGGGGGCCAGCGUUGUUCGGAUUUACUGGGCGUAAAGCGCACGUAGGCGGAUCGAUCAGUCAGGGGUGAAAUCCCAGAGCUCAACUCUGGAACUGCCUUUGAUACUGUCGAUCUGGAGUAUGGAAGAGGUGAGUGGAAUUCCGAGUGUAGAGGUGAAAUUCGUAGAUAUUCGGAGGAACACCAGUGGCGAAGGCGGCUCACUGGUCCAUUACUGACGCUGAGGUGCGAAAGCGUGGGGAGCAAACAGGAUUAGAUACCCCGGUAGUCCCUGUCUCUUAUAC
This 301-nucleotide ribosomal RNA is filed under the name uncultured bacterium. RNAcentral's name for it is "partial 16S ribosomal RNA". It matches the Rfam family "Bacterial small subunit ribosomal RNA", at positions 509 to 807 of the family's 1533-position model. The record is from RNAcentral.